UAACAGGAAGCAGCUUGCUGCUUUGCUGACGAGUGGCGGACGGGUGAGUAAUGUCUGGGAAACUGCCUGAUGGAGGGGGAUAACUACUGGAAACGGUGGCUAAUACCGCAUAACGUCGCAAGACCAAAGAGGGGGACCUUCGGGCCUCUUGCCAUCAGAUGUGCCCAGAUGGGAUUAGCUUGUUGGUGAGGUAACGGCUCACCAAGGCGACGAUCCCUAGCUGGUCUGAGAGGAUGACCAGCCACACUGGAACUGAGACACGGUCCAGACUCCUACGGGAGGCAGCAGUGGGGAAUAUUGCACAAUGGGCGCAAGCCUGAUGCAGCCAUGCCGCGUGUAUGAAGAAGGCCUUCGGGUUGUAAAGUACUUUCAGCGGGGAGGAAGGUGUUGUGGUUAAUAACCGCAGCAAUUGACGUUACCCGCAGAAGAAGCACCGGCUAACUCCGUGCCAGCAGCCGCGGUAAUACGGAGGGUGCAAGCGUUAAUCGGAAUUACUGGGCGUAAAGCGCACGCAGGCGGUCUGUCAAGUCGGAUGUGAAAUCCCCGGGCUCAACCUGGGAACUGCAUUCGAAACUGGCAGGCUUGAGUCUUGUAGAGGGGGGUAGAAUUCCAGGUGUAGCGGUGAAAUGCGUAGAGAUCUGGAGGAAUACCGGUGGCGAAGGCGGCCCCCUGGACAAAGACUGACGCUCAGGUGCGAAAGCGUGGGGAGCAAACAGGAUUAGAUACCCUGGUAGUCCACGCCGUAAACGAUGUCUACUUGGAGGUUGUGCCCUUGAGGCGUGGCUUCCGGAGCUAACGCGUUAAGUAGACCGCCUGGGGAGUACGGCCGCAAGGUUAAAACUCAAAUGAAUUGACGGGGGCCCGCACAAGCGGUGGAGCAUGUGGUUUAAUUCGAUGCAACGCGAAGAACCUUACCUGGUCUUGACAUCCACGGAAGUUUUCAGAGAUGAGAAUGUGCCUUCGGGAACCGUGAGACAGGUGCUGCAUGGCUGUCGUCAG
RNAcentral lists this ribosomal RNA (999 nucleotides) under Salmonella enterica subsp. enterica. RNAcentral describes it as "bacterial SSU rRNA". It matches the Rfam family "Bacterial small subunit ribosomal RNA", at positions 64 to 1058 of the family's 1533-position model. Lineage: Bacteria; Pseudomonadati; Pseudomonadota; Gammaproteobacteria; Enterobacterales; Enterobacteriaceae. The record is from RNAcentral.